RNAcentral lists this ribosomal RNA (253 nucleotides) under uncultured bacterium. RNAcentral's name for it is "partial 16S ribosomal RNA". It matches the Rfam family "Bacterial small subunit ribosomal RNA", at positions 524 to 776 of the family's 1533-position model. The record is from RNAcentral.
UACAGAGGGGGCAAGCGUUGUUCGGAAUUACUGGGCGUAAAGGGCGCGUAGGCGGAUAAGCAAGUCAACUGUGAAAUCCCGAGGCUCAACCUCGGAAGAGCAAGUGAAACUAUUUAUCUAGAGGGAUGGCGGAGAAAACGGAAUUCCACGUGUAGCGGUGAAAUGCGUAGAUAUGUGGAAGAACACCUGUGGCGAAAGCGGUUUUCUAGCUUCCCCCUGACGCUGAGGCGCGAGAGCAAGGGGAGCAAACAGG